RNAcentral lists this ribosomal RNA (385 nucleotides) under uncultured bacterium. RNAcentral's name for it is "bacterial SSU rRNA". It matches the Rfam family "Bacterial small subunit ribosomal RNA", at positions 30 to 417 of the family's 1533-position model. The record is from RNAcentral.
AUUGAACGCUGGCGGCAUGCCUUACACAUGCAAGUCGAACGGAUUUUGGGGCUUGCUCCAAAGUUAGUGGCGAACGGGUGAGUAAUACAUCGGAACGUACCCAGUUGUGGGGGAUAACGUAGCGAAAGUUACGCUAAUACCGCAUACGCACUGAGGUGGAAAGCGGGGGACCUUCGGGCCUCGCGCAAUUGGAGCGGCCGAUGUCGGAUUAGCUAGUUGGUGAGGUAAAGGCUCACCAAGGCGACGAUCCGUAGCUGGUCUGAGAGGACGACCAGCCACACUGGAACUGAGACACGGUCCAGACUCCUACGGGAGGCAGCAGUGGGGAAUUUUGGACAAUGGGCGAAAGCCUGAUCCAGCCAUGCCGCGUGAGUGAAGAAGGCCU